This 26-nucleotide non-coding RNA is filed under the name Rattus norvegicus (Norway rat). The record is from RNAcentral. Lineage: Eukaryota; Metazoa; Chordata; Mammalia; Rodentia; Muridae.
UGGAAUGGUGUCUGUUCUGGGGCUGU